Molecule: ribosomal RNA, 174 nt
Filed under: uncultured Clostridium sp.
Lineage: Bacteria; Bacillati; Bacillota; Clostridia; Eubacteriales; Clostridiaceae
Description: partial 16S ribosomal RNA
Rfam family: Bacterial small subunit ribosomal RNA
Source: RNAcentral
UACUCCUACGGGAGGCAGCAGUGGGGAAUAUUGCACAAUGGGGGAAACCCUGAUGCAGCAACGCCGCGUGAACGAAGACGGCCUUCGGGUUGUAAAGUUCUUUGAUUGGGGAAGAAAAUGACGGUACCCAAAAAACAAGCCACGGCUAACUACGUGCCAGCAGCCGCGGUAAUA